AACGAACGCUGGCGGCAUGCCUAACACAUGCAAGUCGAACGAGACCUUCGGGUCUAGUGGCGCACGGGUGCGUAACGCGUGGGAACCUGCCCUUAGGUUCGGAAUAACUCCCCGAAAGGGGUGCUAAUACCGGAUAAUGUCUUCGGACCAAAGAUUUAUCGCCUUUGGAUGGGCCCGCGUUGGAUUAGCUAGUUGGUAGGGUAAAAGCCUACCAAGGCGACGAUCCAUAGCUGGUCUGAGAGGAUGAUCAGCCACACUGGGACUGAGACACGUCCCAAACUCCUACGGGAGGCAGCAGUGGGGAAUAUUGGACAAGGGGCGAAAGCCUGAUCAAGCAAUGCCGCGUGAGUGAUGAAGGCCUUAGGGUUGUAAAUCUCUUUUACCCGGGAUGAUAAUGACAGUACCGGGAGAAUAAGCUCCGGCUAACUCCGUG
Molecule: ribosomal RNA, 433 nt
Filed under: uncultured bacterium
Lineage: Bacteria
Description: partial 16S ribosomal RNA
Rfam family: Bacterial small subunit ribosomal RNA
Source: RNAcentral